Molecule: ribosomal RNA, 254 nt
Filed under: uncultured bacterium
Lineage: Bacteria
Description: partial 16S ribosomal RNA
Rfam family: Bacterial small subunit ribosomal RNA
Source: RNAcentral
UACGGAGGGGGCUAGCGUUAUUCGGAAUUAUUGGGCGUAAAGGGCGCGUAGGCGGCGCGGAAAGUCGUCGGUGAAAGCUCGGGGCUCAACCCUGAGUCUGCCGGUGAUACUCCCGCGCUCGAGCUCACUAGAGGCAGAUGGAAUUCCGGGUGUAGCGGUGGAAUGCGUAGAGAUCCGGAAGAACACCGGUGGCGAAGGCGGCUAACUGGUCCAGAUCUGACGCUGAGGUGCGAAAGCGUGGGGAGCAAACAGGG